GCUCAACCGAAGAAGUGCAUUGGAAACUGGGAGACUUGAGUGCAGAAGAGGACAGUGGAACUCCAUGUGUAGCGGUGAAAUGCGUAGAUAUAUGGAAGAACACCAGUGGCGAAGGCGGCUGUCUGGUCUGCAACUGACGCUGAGGCUCGAAAGCAUGGGUAGCGAACAGGAUUAGAUACCCUGGUAGUCCAUGCCGUAAACGAUGAUUACUAAGUGUUGGAGGGUUUCCGCCCUUCAGUGCUGCAGCUAACGCAUUAAGUAAUCCGCCUGGGGAGUACGACCGCAAGGUUGAAACUCAAAAGAAUUGACGGGGGCCCGCACAAGCGGUGGAGCAUGUGGUUUAAUUCGAAGCUACGCGAAGAACCUUACCAGGUCUUGACAUCUUCUGACAGUCUAAGAGAUUAGAGGUUCCCUUCGGGGACAGAAUGACAGGUGGUGCAUGGUUGACGUCAGCUCGUGUCGUGAGAUGUUGGGUUAAGUCCCGCAACGAGCGCAACCCUUAUUACUAGUUGCCAGCAUUAAGUUGGGCACUCUAGUGAGACUGCCGGUGACAAACCGGAGGAAGGUGGGGACGACGUCAAAUCAUCAUGCCCCUUAUGACCUGGGCUACACACGUGCUACAAUGGAUGGUACAACG
This 637-nucleotide ribosomal RNA is filed under the name uncultured bacterium. RNAcentral describes it as "bacterial SSU rRNA". It matches the Rfam family "Bacterial small subunit ribosomal RNA", at positions 607 to 1244 of the family's 1533-position model. The record is from RNAcentral.